RNAcentral lists this long non-coding RNA (1136 nucleotides) under Myripristis murdjan (pinecone soldierfish). Its description in RNAcentral is "lncRNA (ENSMMDG00005020994.1)". The record is from RNAcentral. Lineage: Eukaryota; Metazoa; Chordata; Actinopteri; Holocentriformes; Holocentridae.
CUAGGGAGCCGUGCCCAGCCAGAGAGGCGGCUGCUCUGCGGGUUUUCAGCAAGAUGUGCCACCUUGUGCCAUUUUGAUCUGAGGAGUGACCUAUCUUUCAAAUAGACAACCUUGGACCACAAUGCGGAGCCCCUACGUCACUUUUCUCCUCCCGUCGGGUCCCUGUGCAAACCCCCUGCUGUGAUACGCUUGAAGCGGAGAGUGAGUGGAGGAAGGAGGACAGCUUGAGGGGGAACUUUUCGAGUGGAACAACACAAAAAAGCUCUCCGUGCGGCCCCAAAAAUGGCUGAAGUCACGACCGAAGGACCCGAACAGGAUUCCGAGAGGACGGCGGAUCAAAACGGCGCCGGUGAGACGGGAGAAACCGGCAAGGAGGAGCAGGCCCUGCCGGACCCCAAACAGGAACCGGGCGACAACGAGAGCGGAGCAGGAAUGGACGUGAACGGCGGACACGGUGCGGUGACGACGGGGGAGGAGGAGGAGGAAGACAACUCGUCUCCCGUCCCCAACGCCGGCAAAGAAACAGUUUCACCGACCGAAAAUAGACUCGACGGCGAGGGGGAAACGGGCGGUAAACUCUCCGAAGCGGGGAAAAGUCCCGUACGGGGGAGUUUGGCGAGUAGCACCGAGGGUGUACCAGAGGGCUCCCGGGUGCUGAAACAAGAACAAAGAGAGGAGGAGAGCGUGUCCUCACCGCCUACCGACCGCACAAAGACCGCGGAGAAAGGGGAACACGGCACCAAGAGACGGGCCAGUGUGGAAAUGUCCUCCUCGGAUGGAGAGCCGCUCAGCCGUGUGGAUUCAGAGGACAGAGAGCCAGUAUGGAGACGGAUCUGACCAGAUGGUUGUCUAGCUCUGCCCACACAGACUGGGUGCCAGCAGGGGUGCUAGCUGUGAAAGCUGCUCGGCUAUUCGGUUGUCCAGCAUGUACAGUCUUGGCCAACUAAGAGUCGCAACGGACUAGAAGCUCCCGAUUCACACAGUUCUUAAACAUCUCUAUGGAGGCAUUCAUUGAAGAAGAGAAUUCACUAGAUGGGUGAUGGGCCUGUUUCACUGACUCCAGACAUAAACAUGUUGUUUAGACGAUAUGCAAGAAGAAGUAUAAAGAGUGUGAGAUGGAAUUUAAAAAAGUUUUU